GUCUACGGCCAUGCCACCCUGAACAAGCCCAAUCCCGUCUGAUCUCGGAAGCUAAGCAGGGUUAGGCCUGGUUAGUAUUUGGAUGGAAGAUCACCUAGGAAGACCAGGUGCUGUAAGCG
RNAcentral lists this ribosomal RNA (119 nucleotides) under Pteropus alecto (black flying fox). Lineage: Eukaryota; Metazoa; Chordata; Mammalia; Chiroptera; Pteropodidae. The record is from RNAcentral.